RNAcentral lists this microRNA precursor (200 nucleotides) under Oryza meridionalis. RNAcentral describes it as "MIR812 microRNA precursor family". It matches the Rfam family "MIR812 microRNA precursor family". The record is from Rfam by way of RNAcentral. Lineage: Eukaryota; Viridiplantae; Streptophyta; Magnoliopsida; Poales; Poaceae.
AAUAAAUGCAGCCAUAGAUAUCCGUGUCUAACAUUUGACUGUCCGUCUUAUUUAAAAUUUGUGAAAAAUUUAAAAAUAUUUAGUCACAUAUAAAGUACUGUUUUAUCAUCUAAUAGCAAUAAAAACACUAAUCAUAAAAAAAUUUUAAAUAAGACAAACAGUCAAACGUUAAACGUAAAUAGUACAAAACUGUAUUUAUU